UGAAUUAUUAAAAUAGUAAAGAAAAAAUUUUCUUCACAAGAAUAUUAAUAUAAAAAAACUGUAAUAAGUAUAUAUGUUAAUAAAAAUCUUUUACAACAAUUAAUAAAAUUGUUAGAGCCCCUCCAGUAAGAGAGGCUUCCAAAAAUUGACGUCAAGGAGCCUUUAACCAAAGUAGGGCAGGCAUCACAAGCGCACAUAGAAAGUGUGUUCGUAAUAUUAGGUGUUGGCACAACCCACCGUCUCUAAACGAUCAUUGGCGAGUUGCCUUUCACCCCCUGACAGGACAGGUUAAAUAUUUCCGCUAUUGAUUGGUUUAUUUAUAAGCAUCUUCUCUCAUUUUAGUUUUUGAUGCAUCCAAUGUGGGACUUGCAGAAUACCUUUCAUAUGUGCCACUAGCUGUAGCCCUCCCUCGGUGUCGUUUUCGUAAAUUGUUAUGUUUGCAACUGAGCUACUUUGUCUGACAGGAGAUUAUGCAUCGAGGAUAAGUCGCUUGUGUUUUGGAAGUGGAAACAAUGGUGGUGAUAAGGCCACAACAUACGUUACC
This 544-nucleotide long non-coding RNA is filed under the name Cicer arietinum (chickpea). RNAcentral describes it as "long non-coding RNA (CARI_LNC002196)". Lineage: Eukaryota; Viridiplantae; Streptophyta; Magnoliopsida; Fabales; Fabaceae. The record is from RNAcentral.